RNAcentral lists this microRNA precursor (109 nucleotides) under Sorghum bicolor (sorghum). RNAcentral describes it as "MIR5565 microRNA precursor family". It matches the Rfam family "MIR5565 microRNA precursor family". The record is from Rfam by way of RNAcentral. Lineage: Eukaryota; Viridiplantae; Streptophyta; Magnoliopsida; Poales; Poaceae.
AUAGUCGAUUUCGUAUCAAUUCAUAUGUAUUGUGAUGAGUUAGAGUGGAACUUGAAUUAAAUUCCACCUCAAUCCACUUCAACAUAUAUCGAUUGAGGUGAAUCCGACA